AUGAACGCUGGCGGCGUGCUUAACACAUGCAAGUCGAACGAAGCACUUUAUUUGAUUUCCUUCGGGACUGAUUAUUUUGUGACUGAGUGGCGGACGGGUGAGUAACGCGUGGGUAACCUGCCUUGUACAGGGGGAUAACAGUUGGAAACGGCUGCUAAUACCGCAUAAGCGCACAGCAUCGCAUGAUGCAGUGUGAAAAACUCCGGUGGUAUAAGAUGGACCCGCGUUGGAUUAGCUAGUUGGUGAGGUAACGGCCCACCAAGGCGACGAUCCAUAGCCGACCUGAGAGGGUGACCGGCCACAAUGGGACUGAGACACGGCCCAAACUCCUACGGGAGGCAGCAGUGGGGAAUAUUGCACAAUGGGCGAAAGCCUGAUGCAGCGACGCCGCGUGAGCGAAGAAGUAUUUCGGUAUGUAAAGCUCUAUCAGCAGGGAAGAUAAUGACGGUACCUGACUAAGAAGCACCGGCUAAAUACGU
RNAcentral lists this ribosomal RNA (479 nucleotides) under uncultured bacterium. RNAcentral's name for it is "partial 16S ribosomal RNA". It matches the Rfam family "Bacterial small subunit ribosomal RNA", at positions 29 to 506 of the family's 1533-position model. The record is from RNAcentral.